RNAcentral lists this ribosomal RNA (373 nucleotides) under uncultured organism. Its description in RNAcentral is "partial 16S ribosomal RNA". It matches the Rfam family "Bacterial small subunit ribosomal RNA", at positions 527 to 896 of the family's 1533-position model. The record is from RNAcentral.
GGAGGGUGCAAGCGUUAAUCGGAAUUACUGGGCGUAAAGCGAGUGUAGGCGGCUGCAUAAGUCGGAUGUGAAAGCCCCGGGGCUUAACCUGGGAAUGGCAUUCGAUACUGUGCAGCUAGAGUCUGAUAGAGGGAAGUGGAAUUCCGGGUGUAGCGGUGAAAUGCGUAGAGAUCCGGAGGAACACCAGUGGCGAAGGCGGCUUCCUGGAUUAAGACUGACGCUGAGGCUCGAAAGCGUGGGGAGCAAACAGGAUUAGAUACCCUGGUAGUCCACGCCCUAAACGAUGUCAACUAGACGUUAGGCUCAUUUCGGAGUCUAGUGUCGAAGCUAACGCGUUAAGUUGACCGCCUGGGGAGUACGGCCGCAAAGGUUG